UUCCGAUCUCCGGCGGCAUGACCGAGCGUCAGGUUCAGCUCAUCACCGAUUUCAAGCCCGAAGUCAUCAUGGUGACGCCAUCCUAUAUGCUGGCGAUCCUCGAUGAAUUCAGGAAACAAGGUCUCGACCCGCGCAAGUCAUCGCUGCGCAUCGGAAUCUUCGGCGCCGAGCCAUGGACCAAUGCGAUGCGCGAGGAAAUCGAGGAAGCGUUCGAUCUUCACGCCGUCGACAUCUAUGGCCGGCGUUGCCAGCGAAUGCGUCGAGACGAAGGACGGCCUCCACAUCUGGGAAGAUCAUUUCUAUCCAGAAGUGAUCAAUCCAGUCACCGGCGAAGUGUUGCCGGACGGCGAAAAGGGCGAACUGGUCUUCACCUCGCUGACCAAGGAAGCCAUGCCCGUGAUCCGCUACCGGACCCGCGACCUGACGCGAUUGCUGCCGGGAACGGCGCGCUCGCUGCGGCGCAUGGAGAAAGUCACCGGCCGCUCCGACGACAUGAUGAUCGUUCGCGGCGUCAACGUGUUCCCGACCC
This 529-nucleotide unclassified non-coding RNA is filed under the name Hevea brasiliensis (rubber tree). The record is from RNAcentral. Lineage: Eukaryota; Viridiplantae; Streptophyta; Magnoliopsida; Malpighiales; Euphorbiaceae.